This 1024-nucleotide ribosomal RNA is filed under the name Neodeightonia subglobosa. RNAcentral's name for it is "SSU rRNA". It matches the Rfam family "Eukaryotic small subunit ribosomal RNA", at positions 72 to 1104 of the family's 1831-position model. Lineage: Eukaryota; Fungi; Ascomycota; Dothideomycetes; Botryosphaeriales; Botryosphaeriaceae. The record is from RNAcentral.
AUCUAUACUGUGAAACUGCGAAUGGCUCAUUAAAUCAGUUAUCGUUUAUUUGAUAGUACCUCACUACAUGGAUAACCGUGGUAAUUCUAGAGCUAAUACAUGCUAAAAACCCCGACUUCGGGAGGGGUGUAUUUAUUAGACAAAAAACCAAUGCCCUUCGGGGCUCCUUGGUGAAUCAUGAUAACUUAACGAAUCGCAUGGCCUUGCGCCGGCGAUGGUUCAUUCAAAUUUCUGCCCUAUCAACUUUCGAUGGUAGGAUAGUGGCCUACCAUGGUAUCAACGGGUAACGGGGAAUUAGGGUUCUAUUCCGGAGAGGGAGCCUGAGAAACGGCUACCACAUCCAAGGAAGGCAGCAGGCGCGCAAAUUACCCAAUCCCGACACGGGGAGGUAGUGACAAUAAAUACUGAUACAGGGCUCUUUUGGGUCUUGUAAUUGGAAUGAGUACAAUUUAAAUACCUUAACGAGGAACAAUUGGAGGGCAAGUCUGGUGCCAGCAGCCGCGGUAAUUCCAGCUCCAAUAGCGUAUAUUAAAGUUGUUGCAGUUAAAAAGCUCGUAGUUGAACCUUGGGCCUGGCUGGCCGGUCUGCCUCACCGCAUGUACUGGUUCGGCCGGGCCUUUCCUCCUGGGGAUCCGCAUGCCCUUCACUGGGUGUGUUGGGGAACCAGGACUUUUACUUUGAAAAAAUUAGAGUGUUCAAAGCAGGCCUUUGCUCGAAUACAUUAGCAUGGAAUAAUAGAAUAGGACGUGCGGUUCUAUUUUGUUGGUUUCUAGGACCGCCGUAAUGAUUAAUAGGGAUAGUCGGGGGCAUCAGUAUUCAGUUGUCAGAGGUGAAAUUCUUGGAUUUACUGAAGACUAACUACUGCGAAAGCAUUUGCCAAGGAUGUUUUCAUUAAUCAGUGAACGAAAGUUAGGGGAUCGAAGACGAUCAGAUACCGUCGUAGUCUUAACCGUAAACUAUGCCGACUAGGGAUCGGGCGAUGUUAUUCUUUUGACUCGCUCGGCACCUUACGAGAAAUCAAAGU